CCUACGGGAGGCAGCAGUGAGGAAUAUUGGUCAAUGGACGCAAGUCUGAACCAGCCAUGCCGCGUGCAGGAAGACGGCUCUAUGAGUUGUAAACUGCUUUUGUACGAGGGUAAACGCAGAUACGUGUAUCUGUCUGAAAGUAUCGUACGAAUAAGGAUCGGCUAACUCCGUGCCAGCAGCCGCGGUAAUACGGAGGAUUCAAGCGUUAUCCGGAAUCAUUGGGCGUAAAGGCUUCCGAGGCGGCAAGGUAAGUCUGAUGUUAAAGCCCGGGGCUCAACUCCGGUUCGGCAUUGGAUACUAUCUAGCUAGAAUGUGGUAGAGGUAAAGGGAAUUCCUGGUGUAGCGGUGAAAUGCGUAGAUAUCAGGAGGAACAUCGGUGGCGAAAGCGCUUUACUGGACCAUUAUUGACGCUGAGGAACGAAAGCCAGGGGAGCAAAUGGGAUUAGAUACCCUGGUAGUC
This 460-nucleotide ribosomal RNA is filed under the name uncultured bacterium. RNAcentral's name for it is "partial 16S ribosomal RNA". It matches the Rfam family "Bacterial small subunit ribosomal RNA", at positions 338 to 795 of the family's 1533-position model. The record is from RNAcentral.